GCGCUCUUAGUUCAGUGGUAGAACGCGCCGUUCACAUCGGCGAGGCCGUUGGUUCGAUCCCAACAGAGCGCACCA
RNAcentral lists this transfer RNA (75 nucleotides) under Candidatus Yanofskybacteria bacterium RIFCSPHIGHO2_01_FULL_48_25b. RNAcentral's name for it is "tRNA-Val". It matches the Rfam family "tRNA". Rfam says of the family: Transfer RNA (tRNA) molecules are approximately 80 nucleotides in length. The record is from RNAcentral. Lineage: Bacteria; Candidatus Yanofskyibacteriota.